This 1917-nucleotide long non-coding RNA is filed under the name Equus caballus (horse). RNAcentral's name for it is "lncRNA (ENSECAG00000044554.1)". Lineage: Eukaryota; Metazoa; Chordata; Mammalia; Perissodactyla; Equidae. The record is from RNAcentral.
GAAUAUCUUGUCUAAUUUAAGAAUUUUGGUGAAGAGAUUUGGGGGUUUUUCCACAGUAAGUCCUAAAGAAUGGCUCUCUUUGGCACCUGGUGUCAAGGCAUUAUUUAGACGUUGUAGCCAAGUGCUUCACAAGCUUUAAAGUGCACAUGAAUCUUGUUAACAUGCAGAUCUGGUUCAGUGGGUCUGGGGUGGGACCUCAGAGUCUGCAUUCCUAACAAGAUCCUGGGAGAUACCAAUGCUGCUCCUGCGCAAACCACGCUCACAGGGAAAGCAAGCAGCCAGCAAACAGCUCACUUGUGCUGUUUUGUCAAGAAUGGACCUCAGAGGUUGUGUUUGAGAAGCUUGGCACACUGGUCCCUGCUAGACAGCUAACACACCCGGUUAUCUUAUCUGUGGCUGAUAAUGACUUACUGUCCUGCUGCUCCCAGAUGUCAACAAGGGCGCCUCCUAUAAUCUCAAUGGGAAUACUUGGAAAGAGUGUCUCAAAAUCCCACUGCAUACAGCACGGCUGACCAGCAGGCAGAGAGGAUUUUUCAGCACAUACUCUUAUUAUCUCCCCACAAGUUUGGAAAUAGAUUUUGUGAUUGCACCUGACAAACACGGAGAUGAGGAUGCAGAAGAGAAAGUUGAGCACCAGUCAAGGUUACACAGGCGUGAGUGCCAGGUGGGUUCUCCUGGCAUCCAACACAGCUUCGGAGAAGCACAAGCGGGAAGCAAGGGACCCGUGAUGCAGGCCUGCAGCGAAGCCCUGGCCAGCCUGCCUCUCCACGGAGCUGGUUGAAGUCUGCAGAGAACUGGGCACCGCAGCUGUGCGUGGCACGAGAGGACAGUCUGAGAAGACCUGAAGUGAUGUACAAGAGGUGUUCAAUACAUGGUGCGUGUCACACUGUAAGAGCUCAAUAAAUAUUUGUUCACUGAAAAGACCCCAGCGCCGUACCUUGGACUUCUGAAGAUAGUGACCAAGUCUCUUCAGAGACAUUUCAGCUCCUUCUGAUGAGAUGGCACCUUGACAUGCUGGCCGCCUUCCUCUUGAUACUUCCCAGUUUAUCAUCAAACUGUAACUCUCUUAAAAGGCUGAGUCCAUCCUGAAAACAGUACUCCACAUAGGGCCAGGCCGGCUCUGGGCACAGCGAAGCUCUGAUUCACGCUUGCACACAUUUGCUCAUGGUAGAUGAACAGGGAGGAGAAAUCCUGCGUGCAGUUAAUGUUGGAAAACUUGACAGAAUGAAAUAACUUGUAGAGAGAUGAGAAGUACCUUUCCUGCAUUAAUACAAACAAAUAUUGGGGAGAGGGGCCCUGCUACAAAGACCCAUCAACUGGCAGGUAGUCAAAAAGCCUGCUGGGAAUAGGGGACUAAAAAAAGGCAGAGCUACAAGGAUCCCCCCAGGUCAUCAAUUCCUUACACAUUUCUGUAUUAUUAUUCUGUGACACUGUUGUGCCACGAUUUCUACACAUUUCCCUAAAAUGCUAUGAGCAAACUGAGGGCAAGGACCAGCCUUGAGCACUGUUCCUAGUGCCUCGUUGGUGUCCAGUAGUUUUUAAUUGAAGCAGAACAUGAUAGCGCUCUACCCCAGGCCCCAAGCCCAGGUUAGGAUCACCCAGUCUCCCUUCCACUCCUAGCUCUCCGCCUGCCUGUGGUCCUGCUCUUUAAGCCUGCCUUUGGCUUUCAUUUCAGCCAGAUUCUUUGCAAAACCCUUUCGUUUUCUGUACUCUUCCAUUUGAGAAUUAACCCUUCACUUGGCAAAGAACUAAGUCUACUCUAAGUUACCUGGACAAAGGGUACCCACAGCCCUCCUGGAACCUGGCUAUUAAGACAGUGACAUUCUACUGGGGGCGAUAUUAGCAAACUCCAUCACCCCCCAACCCCCAUUACCACCCAUAAGCCCCCGGUAGUUGGCAGAGAAACCUAACUGCUUC